RNAcentral lists this ribosomal RNA (528 nucleotides) under Botryosphaeria sp. 3D4. RNAcentral describes it as "eukaryotic LSU rRNA". The stretch from base 154 to 307 matches the Rfam family "5.8S ribosomal RNA". Lineage: Eukaryota; Fungi; Ascomycota; Dothideomycetes; Botryosphaeriales; Botryosphaeriaceae. The record is from RNAcentral.
UGCGGAAGGAUCAUUACCGAGUUUUCGGGCUUCGGCUCGACUCUCCCACCCUUUGUGAACACACCUCUGUUGCUUUGGCGGCUCCGGCCGCCAGAGGACCUUCAAACUCCAGUCAGUAAACGUCGACGUCUGAAAAACAAGUUAAUAAACUAAAACUUUCAACAACGGAUCUCUUGGUUCUGGCAUCGAUGAAGAACGCAGCGAAAUGCGAUAAGUAAUGUGAAUUGCAGAAUUCAGUGAAUCAUCGAAUCUUUGAACGCACAUUGCGCCCCUUGGUAUUCCGAGGGGCAUGCCUGUUCGAGCGUCAUUACAACCCUCAAGCUCUGCUUGGUAUUGGGCUCCGUCCUCACUGCGGACGCGCCUCAAAGACCUCGGCGGUGGCUGUUCAGCCCUCAAGCGUAGUAGAAUACACCUCGCUUUGGAGCGGUUGGCGUCGCCCGCCGGACGAACCUUCUGAACUUUUCUCAAGGUUGACCUCGGAUCAGGUAGGGAUACCCGCUGAACUUAAGCAUAUCAAUAAGCGGAGGA